This 429-nucleotide ribosomal RNA is filed under the name Pseudomonadota bacterium. RNAcentral describes it as "Proteobacteria bacterium partial 16S ribosomal RNA". It matches the Rfam family "Bacterial small subunit ribosomal RNA", at positions 355 to 776 of the family's 1533-position model. Lineage: Bacteria; Pseudomonadati; Pseudomonadota. The record is from RNAcentral.
UGGGGAAUAUUGGACAAUGGGCGAAAGCCUGAUCCAGCCAUGCCGCGUGUGUGAAGAAGGUCUUCGGAUUGUAAAGCACUUUAAGUUGGGAGGAAGGGCAGUAAGCGAAUACCUUGCUGUUUUGACGUUACCGACAGAAUAAGCACCGGCUAACUCUGUGCCAGCAGCCGCGGUAAUACAGAGGGUGCAAGCGUUAAUCGGAAUUACUGGGCGUAAAGCGCGCGUAGGUGGUUCGUUAAGUUGAAUGUGAAAGCCCCGGGCUCAACCUGGGAACUGCAUCCAAAACAAGGGAGCUAGAGUAGGGCAGAGGGUGGUGGAAGUUCCUGUGUAGCGGUGAAAUGCGUAGAUAUAGGAAGGAACACCAGUGGCGAAGGCGACCACCUGGGCUCAUACUGACACUGAGGUGCGAAAGCGUGGGGAGCAAACAGG